GAUGAGGUAGCAGUACUUAGUGGCAGACGGGUGAGUACAUGUAGGUAUCUGCCCUUUGGCCUGGAAUAACACGAGGAAACUUGUGCUAAUACUGGAUAAGUCUUUACGGAGAAAGCUUUAUGCACCAUUGGACGAGCCUGCACUUGAUUAGUUUGUUGGUAGGGUAAUGGCCUACCAAGACUGUGAUCAAUAGCUGAUUUGAGAGGAUGAUCAGCCACAUUGGGACUGAGACACGGCCCAAACUCCUACGGGAGGCAGCAGUGGGGAAUCUUGCACAAUGGAGGAAACUCUGAUGCAGCGAUGCCGCGUGAGUGAAGAAGGCCUUUGGGUUGUAAAACUCUUUCGUCGGGGAAGAAAAUGACUGUACCCGAAUAAGAAGGUCCGGCUAACUUCGUGCCAGCAGCCGCGGUAAUACGAAGGGACCUAGCGUAGUUCGGAAUUACUGGGCUUAAAGAGCUCGUAGGUGGUUAAAAAAGUUGAUGGUGAAAUCCCAAGGCUCAACCUUGGAACUGCCAUCAAAACUUUUUAGCUAGAGUGUGAUAGAGGUAAGUGGACUUUCUAGUGUAGAGGUGAAAUUCGUAGAUAUUAGAAAGAACACCAAUGCGAAGGCACUUACUGGGUCACUACUGACACUGAGGAGCGAAAGCUGGGUAGCGAAGAGGAUUAGAUACCUCGUAAUCAUGCGAAAAGAUGUGGCUGACGUGGAAUUAUUUCAGGUCGAGGAAAGAUAAGGCACGCUGG
RNAcentral lists this ribosomal RNA (741 nucleotides) under uncultured Alphaproteobacteria bacterium. RNAcentral's name for it is "bacterial SSU rRNA". It matches the Rfam family "Bacterial small subunit ribosomal RNA", at positions 65 to 865 of the family's 1533-position model. The record is from RNAcentral. Lineage: Bacteria; Pseudomonadati; Pseudomonadota; Alphaproteobacteria.